This 727-nucleotide ribosomal RNA is filed under the name Aspergillus sp. 6 BRO-2013. Its description in RNAcentral is "eukaryotic LSU rRNA". The stretch from base 241 to 394 matches the Rfam family "5.8S ribosomal RNA". The record is from RNAcentral. Lineage: Eukaryota; Fungi; Ascomycota; Eurotiomycetes; Eurotiales; Aspergillaceae.
GGAAGUAAAAGUCGUAACAUGGUUUCCGUAGGUGAACCUGCGGAAGGAUCAUUACCGAGUGCGGGUCCUUUGGGCCCAACCUCCCAUCCGUGUCUAUUGUACCCUGUUGCUUCGGCGGGCCCGCCGCUUGUCGGCCGCCGGGGGGGCGCCUCUGCCCCCCGGGCCCGUGCCCGCCGGAGACCCCAACACGAACACUGUCUGAAAGCGUGCAGUCUGAGUUGAUUGAAUGCAAUCAGUUAAAACUUUCAACAAUGGAUCUCUUGGUUCCGGCAUCGAUGAAGAACGCAGCGAAAUGCGAUAACUAAUGUGAAUUGCAGAAUUCAGUGAAUCAUCGAGUCUUUGAACGCACAUUGCGCCCCCUGGUAUUCCGGGGGGCAUGCCUGUCCGAGCGUCAUUGCUGCCCUCAAGCCCGGCUUGUGUGUUGGGUCGCCGUCCCCCUCUCCGGGGGGACGGGCCCGAAAGGCAGCGGCGGCACCGCGUCCGAUCCUCGAGCGUAUGGGGCUUUGUCACAUGCUCUGUAGGAUUGGCCGGCGCCUGCCGACGUUUUCCAACCAUUCUUUCCAGGUUGACCUCGGAUCAGGUAGGGAUACCCGCUGAACUUAAGCAUAUCAAUAAGCGGAGGAAAAGAAACCAACCGGGAUUGCCUCAGUAACGGCGAGUGAAGCGGCAAGAGCUCAAAUUUGAAAGCUGGCUCCUUCGGAGUCUGCAGGGUAACACUUUUAGGAUC